Molecule: ribosomal RNA, 578 nt
Filed under: Rhynchophorus phoenicis (African palm weevil)
Lineage: Eukaryota; Metazoa; Arthropoda; Insecta; Coleoptera; Curculionidae
Description: partial large subunit ribosomal RNA
Rfam family: Eukaryotic large subunit ribosomal RNA
Source: RNAcentral
UGAUAGUGCAGCCCUAAGUGGGUGGUAAACUCCAUCUAAGGCUAAAUAUAACCACGAGACCGAUAGCGAACAAGUACCGUGAGGGAAAGUUGAAAAGCACUUUGAAGAGAGAGUUCAAGAGUACGUGAAACCGUUUAGGGGUAAACCUGAGAAACCCGAAAUGUCGAAGGGAGAAAUUCAUUCGCGGCUCGACGCGGGGGACGCGCGAUCGCGUGACGGACGGCGCUUCGGUGCCGUACGCGCCUUUCGUGCGUCGAACCCGCGACGAACGUGUGCACUUUUCUCCUAGUAGGACGUCGCGAUCCGUUGGGCGUCGAUCUAAGGCUCGGGGUGGAGACCGUAGACGGCGGUUCGCGCCGUUUUCGUUUACGGACCCCCGCGUUCGCGAUCGACUCGCUCGACGGUAUACGAAUGGUUUAAGGCCGCUAUUUUUUUAGCGUCCGACUCGUUGCAAGCGCGUCAGAUGCAUGUCGGUAAUCGGACCUGGUGCCGUUUCUGACCUCUGAUGACUGUUGGCGACGAUGUUCUCGGACAGAGCCUAAAACCGAUCGGCGACGCUAUAGCUUUGGGUACUUUCG